CCUUGUACACACCGCCCGUCACGCCAUGGAAGUUGGUAUUACCCGAAGAGAUUUCGCCAACCGCAAGGAGGCAAAUUUCAACGGUAUUGCCGAUGACUGGGGGUG
RNAcentral lists this ribosomal RNA (105 nucleotides) under uncultured bacterium. RNAcentral's name for it is "partial 16S ribosomal RNA". It matches the Rfam family "Bacterial small subunit ribosomal RNA", at positions 1379 to 1482 of the family's 1533-position model. The record is from RNAcentral.